Long non-coding RNA from Daphnia pulicaria, 936 nucleotides. RefSeq lists it as uncharacterized. NCBI's taxonomy places the organism in Eukaryota, Metazoa, Arthropoda, Branchiopoda, Diplostraca, Daphniidae. The transcript has 6 exons. The record is from RefSeq and is a predicted model, not a curated record.
CGGAAUUAUGUCCAGGACACGUUGGGCGGUACACACAACCUUAUUAGACUGGGAAUGUUUUCCACCACGGCAUGUUCGAAACGGCCAUGUACAGGAGAUUGUUGGAUCAUCCAGCUGAGAGAAACGACGUCUGAGCAUCACCGGCCAGGUUUAGAAACGAGAAAAGAAACAUUCAUGAUUCAUCCGAUUCCGAACCGCUGAUCGAAAAGGUUAUUCUAGUCGUUAUUGCUGGGCACUUUUAUUCCUGAUAUUUUUCUUCAUAAUAAAAGGUGAGACAUUGGGGGAGAUUUUUCUCUAUGUGCAGUGCCAAGUCAACAGAAUGCCUUUGUGAUGUAUCAUGUUGUGAGAUGAAAAUGGAAAGAAAACAGGAAAUCUGAAAUGAUUCCUUGGUCAAUUUGGUGUUGAAGCUGAUAAUGGUGGUGAGGUCUCGUGUGCUGUGGUGUGGCAGUCAUUUUCUGAUUGAGAGAUGCACUGAUAUGGAGCUUCUGCAGGCUUGCAGUUCAACAUCAGACUUCAAUUUAUCAUGUUGGUGUCCAUGCAGUGUUGAGCUGUUGUGCAAAAUAGUUGUUGUUGCCUGAUGGCUGCCUGUCAUUUUGUUGGUGUGUUCUUUUUCUACCUGUUCCCAUGUUGAGUUCAAUCGUAUGUCGCCGUUCCACACCUAACCUAUUGGUGAAGCUAAGAAGAGAUUGCUAAACUUCAAGAGAUUGAUAAAUUAUUUAGCUUAGACAAUUUGCAUAUCUGUUCUCCCUUUCCCCAAGUAAACAAAUUAUCCUCUGGCUAGUUGUGUGAAUUGCAAUGAGAUUAUAUUUCUGUGAGAAAGUUCAGCCAAACCACGAAUGUUCCGAUACACUACUGUUUCCGUAACAAGUCUAAACCUUUUCGCUCUUAAUCAAUAACAUUACCUCGUUAAAAAGAAAUAAAUAAUUGAAACCUAAA